Molecule: ribosomal RNA, 229 nt
Filed under: uncultured bacterium
Lineage: Bacteria
Description: partial 16S ribosomal RNA
Rfam family: Bacterial small subunit ribosomal RNA
Source: RNAcentral
CGUGUAGGCGGCUGGGUAAGUCAGAUGUGAAAGCCCUGGGCUUAACCCAGGAAGUGCAUUUGAAACUGCUAGGCUAGAGUAGGGGAGAGGGAAGUGGAAUUCCUGGUGUAGAGGUGAAAUUCGUAGAUAUCAGGAGGAACACCGGUGGCGAAGGCGACUUCCUGGCCCUAUACUGACGCUGAGACGCGAGAGCGUGGGUAGCAAACAGGAUUAGAUACCCUGGUAGUCC